UUCUAUGAGUGAUGGAAUUAACAUAAUAUGUUAACAUUAACAAUCUUACAAGCGGACGGUGAGGUCGCGUUUUGGGUGCGUUUCGUUUUGCAUAAUAUUAAUGUGGAUUUGUGCUUCACAGUUUAUAAUAAUAACCGUAAAUACGCUGAAGAGAAAAACGCUGCUCGUGACGUCGACAACAGAAUCCCCAA
Molecule: long non-coding RNA, 191 nt
Organism: Drosophila navojoa
Lineage: Eukaryota; Metazoa; Arthropoda; Insecta; Diptera; Drosophilidae
Source: RefSeq, a predicted model, not a curated record